UACGGGGGGGGCAAGCGUUGUUCGGAAUUACUGGGCGUAAAGGGCUCGUAGGCGGCCAACUAAGUCAGACGUGAAAUCCCCAGGCUCAACCUGGGAACUGCGUCUGAUACUGGAUGGCUUGAAUUCGGGAGAGGGAUGCAGAAUUCCAGGUGUAGCGGUGAAAUGCGUAGAUAUCGGGAGGAACACCAGUGGCGAAGGCGACUUCCUGGCCUGUUCUUGACGCUGAGGCGCGAAAGCUAGGGGAGCAAACGGG
This 253-nucleotide ribosomal RNA is filed under the name uncultured bacterium. RNAcentral's name for it is "partial 16S ribosomal RNA". It matches the Rfam family "Bacterial small subunit ribosomal RNA", at positions 524 to 776 of the family's 1533-position model. The record is from RNAcentral.